This is a long non-coding RNA of Eptesicus fuscus (big brown bat), 539 nucleotides long. RefSeq lists it as uncharacterized. NCBI's taxonomy places the organism in Eukaryota, Metazoa, Chordata, Mammalia, Chiroptera, Vespertilionidae. The transcript has 4 exons. The record is from RefSeq and is a predicted model, not a curated record.
ACACCCACCUAAAGCAGAACAAAUCCACGUCAGAUAUUAAGAAAACGACUCAAACAAAGGAACUCUCCAUUUAGAAGCAUAAAUGUGUGGCAUUAGAGAGACCAAGUUUAAAUACCCACCUUCCACCCUAUAUCCAUCUCACUGAACUUUUAUUCCUGAGGAAGAAAAUGAGGUAUUGUGGGAGAUCAGAGCGGUAGCAACUGAUCACUGUUUACCAUCUCCCCAGGAAACAAGAGCGUGGAAGAGGGAAAGACUGAGAGAAACAUUGGUGUAAGAAAAACACAUCGAUUGGCUGCCUCCUUCAUGCUCCCUGACCAGGACGGAGGUGCCUGGGCUGGGGAGGAGCCUGCAACCAUGAAGUCAACUUUUCAUGACAAAUAAACUCACCGCUGAAGAAGAGAAGGAGGAUGCUGAAUACCAAGUGGAGUUCACCUUGGAAGAAACCUGUGAGGGCAGAAAAUGCAUGGAUCAGCCAACCUGAGCAUUCUAGGUUACUUAGUUUUAUUUUUUUUUCUCUUGCACACAGCCUCCCUGCUGUG